RNAcentral lists this ribosomal RNA (980 nucleotides) under Haloferax sp. RNAcentral describes it as "bacterial SSU rRNA". It matches the Rfam family "Archaeal small subunit ribosomal RNA", at positions 59 to 1037 of the family's 1478-position model. The record is from RNAcentral. Lineage: Archaea; Methanobacteriati; Methanobacteriota; Halobacteria; Halobacteriales; Haloferacaceae.
UGCACGAGUUCAUACUCGUGGCGAAAAGCUCAGUAACACGUGGCCAAACUACCCUACAGAGAACGAUAACCUCGGGAAACUGAGGCUAAUAGUUCAUACGGGAGUCAUGCUGGAAUGCCGACUCCCCGAAACGCUCAGGCGCUGUAGGAUGUGGCUGCGGCCGAUUAGGUAGACGGUGGGGUAACGGCCCACCGUGCCGAUAAUCGGUACGGGUUGUGAGAGCAAGAGCCCGGAGACGGAAUCUGAGACAAGAUUCCGGGCCCUACGGGGCGCAGCAGGCGCGAAACCUUUACACUGCACGCAAGUGCGAUAAGGGGACCCCAAGUGCGAGGGCAUAUAGUCCUCGCUUUUCACGACUGUAAGGCGGUCGUGGAAUAAGAGCUGGGCAAGACCGGUGCCAGCCGCCGCGGUAAUACCGGCAGCUCAAGUGAUGACCGAUAUUAUUGGGCCUAAAGCGUCCGUAGCCGGCCACGAAGGUUCAUCGGGAAAUCCGCCAGCUCAACUGGCGGGCGUCCGGUGAAAACCACGUGGCUUGGGACCGGAAGGCUCGAGGGGUACGUCCGGGGUAGGAGUGAAAUCCCGUAAUCCUGGACGGACCACCGAUGGCGAAAGCACCUCGAGAAGACGGAUCCGACGGUGAGGGACGAAAGCUAGGGUCUCGAACCGGAUUAGAUACCCGGGUAGUCCUAGCUGUAAACGAUGCUCGCUAGGUGUGGCACAGGCUACGAGCCUGUGCUGUGCCGUAGGGAAGCCGAGAAGCGAGCCGCCUGGGAAGUACGUCCGCAAGGAUGAAACUUAAAGGAAUUGGCGGGGGAGCACUACAACCGGAGGAGCCUGCGGUUUAAUUGGACUCAACGCCGGACAUCUCACCAGCUCCGACUACAGUGAUGACGAUCAGGUUGAUGACCUUAUCACGACGCUGUAGAGAGGAGGUGCAUGGCCGCCGUCAGCUCGUACCGUGAGGCGUCCUGUUAAGUCAG